This is a long non-coding RNA of Ostrea edulis (European flat oyster), 500 nucleotides long. RefSeq lists it as uncharacterized. The transcript is spliced from 2 exons. Lineage: Eukaryota; Metazoa; Mollusca; Bivalvia; Ostreida; Ostreidae. The record is from RefSeq and is a predicted model, not a curated record.
GACAACCGGAAGUAGGGCCAGCAGAAACAAUAGAGAGGCACACAUGGUCGCCAAAGUUAUCUGGUGGCGCCCAGUUUUUAUUGGUGGAGGAGAGAACCCAGAUACAAUGUACCUGGGAAGAGACCACUGACCUUCCAAAAGUAAACUGGGAAACUUUCUCACUUACUGGUGCGAGCGGGAUUCAAACUUGUGCUGACAGAGGUGAGAGGCCGUGUGAUUUUGAGUGCGAUGCUCUUACCACUCCGCCACGGAGGGCCCCUAGGUGAUGAUGUAAAGGAACACAAGUGAGAAGAUGGGGAAGUGCAAAGUUACUGGGGCAAAUGAUCAAAAUGUGAUGGCGAAGGGGGGAUACUAUUAUUGCUUCUUCAUCUUUGAACUCUUGCCUUUGCAAAUUUUUCACAACUGAAACUUUUCGAUUUGCAUGUGUGAGACCCGAAACCAAAAAUGUUUUGUUGACUUAGUUGCUUCCCAUGUGGCAAUAUUAAAAAAAUAUCAACUUU